UCCACGCCCCGCGCGGCUCCCUCGCGUCCCGCGUCCCGCGUCCCGCGUCCCCUGCUCACCCGGUGGCAAAGCCGGCGAGGAGGCGGCGGCGCUGGUGGGGACUGACCCGGCAGUCCGAGAAUCCACCGCGGCCUUUUCACCCAACCGCCCCCUCCUGCGUGGGGGCCCCGCAUCCCCUGGACUGGCGUGGGCUCUGGGGCCCGAUGCCCUGGCAGCCCCGGCCAUCUCUGCCGCUGGCCGCGGGUACCUGCUCACCUGUCCACGCCGUGGCCGACCCGGGGAUCACCGACAGCCGGGCCAUGCCUCGAGUCCCGCCGCCCGCGCCGCUGCUCGGCUUCUCAGAAACGCACCUCCACGCCGCCAGCCGGGGCUCCAGGGUCCACCGCCCGGGCCCGGAGGACUGGCGACUCCCUCCGAGGUUGGGAGCGCUCCGGAUUUCUCCAACUUCAGGCCCUGAAAUGUGGUAGUUCAGCUCCACAUUGGAUGCUUUUGGCCGAUGCCUUGGUUUUGCUCCUCCCCUAUGUGCCAGUCCUAUGAGUCUGCUAGCCUCCUGGUUCAGUGUGGAAGCCUCCUUGGCUGCAGCGGGGGUCAUGCACAGCAGCCUCAGGAGGCUGCAUUUGUCCAUCUCAGCAUCUCUUUCCCUGGGUCUGGCCCUCAACCUCUUUCUUGUAGGCUGGAAUUUGAGUGCUUCACUCCCUGAACUCUGGAGGAUUUUAACAUAGUUACGACUUGUGUCUCCAAAUGGAUAAACCAGGACCAGUGCCGCACUCAGUCGAAGCCAACUAGACCACUGCUAGACCACUUUUUUCAACACCGAGUGUGCCAUGAGAAACUAUGUUAAUAAAAGGCAAAAAUGUGGAAGGAACAGGAAGAAUGAAAAAGCAAAAUAAAAAAGGGCAAAUUCUUGCAAAACCUCUUCAUCCCUAGCUUUUCCCAGAAAUCCUGGCAUUUCUUCAGUAAAUUUGUUCUGUGCAAGUAUUUGUUCUACCAAGACCGAUCAGUGAAAAAUGAGAAAAACCUAGUUUCUUCCCUAGGAAUUGAUGCCAUUUUAUGAAAUCUGUUAUUAAUAUCAGCCAGUUGUCGAGAAAGUGCACUUGUUCAGUAGCUGACUUUGGCUGCUCAGUAUGGGCUUUUGCUUUGCCAAAAAUAAUGAGAUCACUUUUCUAAUUCCUUUUUAAUGUGUUUACACAGCUUCAACAGUAUUGCCUGCUCUAUACACUAGGAAACAUUAUGUGGAACAGCAAAUUUGCUUUCCAAGUCAAACUGAAGAAAACCACACAAUAAUUAUCUAGAAUUAACUUACUGAAUUUAAAGAGGAAUAUACUUGAACUGCCUGACAAAUUAUGCAUUAAGAACAAACCAAGAGAAAAACAAAACAAACAUCACACCAUAAUAUUUUUGUAAAAAGUUUUGAAAGACAAGUGUUUCAUCGUCUUGAGAACGCUGACUUAUGAUGCCCUUGAUUGGCAUUAAGGAAACAAACUCUGGGAAAGAAUGAUGACGUCCUGUUAUAUUCUCAUCUUUGUAUUGCUCUCUCAAGAAAUAUGGGGGAGGAGGAGCCAGAAGAAGAAACAGCUCGAAGAAUUGACUAUUGUUGCCUCUGGCAAAUGGGAUGAGGAAAUGGGAAGUUAUGAGACAAGGAAAUGAUGAGUUUCAUUACAAGCCUAGAAGUAAUUAAGCGUUUAUGUUACUCAUUUGUACUAUUUUCACUUAAGACAAUGAAAAUUUAUAAUUUCUAAAGAGCAGAAAAGAGCUCGGAAAGGUUACCUGCUUGGUAACCAAUGGCUGUAUGAUAUGUUGCCUGACUGUUAAAUCCAGAAACUGUCAAAAGAUGGGUUUUGUUUAGGUUGAGCCAGACUUUCUCCAGAAGGAGUAACGCACCAAAGGAUCUGUCUGACUCCCACCCCCAUGACCACCUCUAUUUCUGCUCAUCUCCAGCUUGACCGCUGGACCUUCAGGCAGGUCUUCCCUUGUCCCACAGCCAAGUGUUGCCCCUCUCCAUUCAUCUCUUCUACUAUUAUCAUCAGCUGAGUCAGAAAUAGAAGACUCAGUGGACACAAAAAAAGACUAGCUGCCAUUCUGAGCUAGAGGCUGCUUCAGAGGAAGACAGCUGACUUCACUGACCACCCACUCAGUCCCAGGCACUGGACUCUGGGCACCUUUCCAUAUUAUUAUCUUAAUUGAGCAUCCCAACUGAUAUGGCCAGGCUUUAUGUCCCCACUCAAAUCUCAUCCUGAAUUAUAAUCCCCAUAAUCCCCUCGUGUCAAGGGAGAGACCAGGUGGAGGUGAUUGGAUUAUGGGGGCGGUUCCCAUGCUGUUCUCAUGAUAGAGUGAGAUCAUGAGAUCUCAUGGUUUUACAAGUGUUUGGUAGUUCCUCCUGCAUUUAUUCUCCUUCCUGCCACCUUGUGAAGAAGGUACCUUGCUUCCCCUUUGCCUUCCACCAUGAUUAUAAGUUUCCUGAGGCCUCCCCAGCCAUGUGGAACUGUGAGUCAAUUAAGCCUCUUUCUUUAUCAAUUACCCAGUCUCAGGCAGUUCUUUACAGCAGUAUGAAAAUGGGCGAAUACCCUGGCCCUAAGAGGUAGACUUUAUUACAUCCAUUUCAAAGAAAGACCAAGAGACAGAGCCUCAGGGCAGUUUGCCAAGUCUUACAGCUAGGUGGGGGCUGCAUUGGGACGUUAACCUGAUUAUUCUGAUGGACACGAGACCAAGGGUCUUGCUUGGUUGGUGAUUAAGCAACAGCACUGGUGAAGAACAGACACACACCCUGGUUCACAGGAGCUGCUCACCCCAGUCCAGCUGGUCUGAGGGCAUGUGGCUCCCAAGUUCAGGUCUGAUGCAAUAAGUUGGGGAGGGAAAAGGACAAUUGCAGUGGCCAAGGAAAGGGAGUGAAGGUGCCUACCCAUGAGCAGCCGCCGUUUCACCCGUUUAUCCCCAUCCACCACUGAUGUGGUGUUGCUCUCUGUCACCUCCAGGACAGUGUCCUCUCGCUCUACAAGAGAAGCAAAAGAGCACGGUUCUCAGACUGAAUGAGUUAGAUUGCUCAUCCCCAUACAACUGUGUUUGCUGAAAUCCCAGACAUAAGAGGAAUGAAAGAUAUGUGACUCUGUUCACGCAAUAAAAAUGUGUUGUAAUGAGGCUCUGUGGGAGACACAGCCCGUUAAAGGGCCACAGAUCCUUAGCAAACAUUAAACAUGGAAAAGAUUUUGGAGGUAUAUUGCACUGACCAAAGAGACACUAGGGAAUGCAAGCUUCAGUCCCCUGAGUCGAGGAGAAAAAGAGCCUUGGGCCUGGAAACCUCUAAAAUGGAGCUAGUGAAGGACACACCGUGAAGGGCAAGGCAGGCAUCCCGCCAGAAAUAUACGGCCCUGGCUCCUGCUGGCCAGAAGUGCCGCAUCAUUAUAAACAGCUCUAACUUCGUGCUGCCCUGGCCUCCUGGGAGGUGUUGUGCCAGUCUCUGGAAUACCAGCGUUAGGAGCAGCCUAGUCCAGGAGAGGAGGAAGGGCUUCCCAAGGUCACACAGGGAGAGAGGGGCCUUCCCCACAGGCCUAGACCACUCCCACUGUAGCAUGCGAAGCAGCACAGGGCCUGCUGGGGGGGCAAAUGCACAGGAAACAGCCUGCAUCUGUGCUAAACACCAUUAAGGGGUAGGGGUAGGGACAGGCAGGCUGGUGCAGACCCUCACUCAGUGUUGGGGUUGCCACUCACCAAGGCAGCUCCUCCCAUCUGUGUGCAUCUUGUACUGUGGAUGGCAGCUGCACUCUGGGCCAUCGGCUGUAUCGUCACAGGAGUGCUGGCACCCACCGUUCCCAUGGUUACAGGUCACUGACAGCAAAAUGAAUCAAUACAUAAAGCACUGAGAUUUCCACAAACACAGGGCUGUGUUUGCUCCAGAGAAAUUCUGAUUUUCAUUCUGCAAGUAUUUGAGCACCUAGUGCAUGCCAGGCAUGGUGCACGAAAGACAUAACUCCAAGUCAGACCCUGUGGUGUCUGUGUAUGCAGAUAGUUACAAUACAAAUUGUAGAAAUGCUGAAACAUGGGUUUAAACAAAGUCAUACAGGAAGAGGGAGAUGGGAGAGUUGGGGGAGAGACUUUUAUUAUAUAAGGGAGAUUAUACCAAGAGAUUCUAGACUACUGCUUUGUUCUAUCUAGAGAAGUUUACCUAUUAAUACAGCUGUACUGGGGCUUUGGGAAAUGCUAUAGCACUUUAUGCUGGAAUAAAACAGACAAUAUUUAAUUUGUACAUAUAUGUCAGAAUUUCUCUCAUCAGAUUCAAUCUAGAUUAGUUAGAAGGAAGGAUAAUCACAGGAUGAUUCUGCACACAAUUAACGUGACAGUAACUGGUAAUUAUCAAGACUAUAUAUGAAUGUAUUGAUGAUAGGCCAAAAAGAAAAAAAGCCAACUACAAAACUAUCUAUUCAUCAAACUGCUAACCGUGGUUACCUCUGGCAAGGGAAACGGGAGGCGGGAAACUGCAUGUUUUCUUUAUAUGCUUUGGAGUGUUUGCAUUUUACAUAGGCCCUUUGUAAUUUUUCUAAUUCAAAAGAACUAAUUACAUAUUUGUGUUGUCCUGUGAUUAUAGCUGUGUAAAAAUUGUGUAUGCAUAUGAACAACAACUAAAUAGGAAUAUGGAAAAAUUGAAACAGCUGGUUAUGUGGUGAGAUUCUAGGUCUUAGUUUUUUUCUUUGUUAAUUCCUCA
Molecule: long non-coding RNA, 4696 nt
Filed under: Homo sapiens (human)
Lineage: Eukaryota; Metazoa; Chordata; Mammalia; Primates; Hominidae
Description: HSALNT0361261
Source: RNAcentral